RNAcentral lists this ribosomal RNA (492 nucleotides) under uncultured bacterium. Its description in RNAcentral is "bacterial SSU rRNA". It matches the Rfam family "Bacterial small subunit ribosomal RNA", at positions 21 to 507 of the family's 1533-position model. The record is from RNAcentral.
GGCUCAGGAUGAACGCUAGCGGCAGGCUUAAUACAUGCAAGUCGUGGGGCAGCAUGAGUAGCAAUACUUGAUGGCGACCGGCAAACGGGUGAGGAACACGUACACAACCUUCCUUCAAGCGGGGAAUAGCCCAGAGAAAUUUGGAUUAAUACCCCAUAAUAUAUUUGAUAAGGCAUCUUAUUAAUAUUAAAGCUUCGGCACUUGAUGAUGGGUGUGCGGCUGAUUAGAUAGUUGGCGGGGUAACGGCCCACCAAGUCUACGAUCAGUAGCUGAUGUGAGGGCAUGAUCAGCCACACGGGCACUGAGACACGGGCCCGACUCCUACGGGAGGCAGCAGUAAGGAAUAUUGGACAAUGGACGAAAGUCUGAUCCAGCCAUGCCGCGUGAAGGAUUAAGGUCCUCUGGAUUGUAAACUUCUUUUAUAUGGGACGAAAAAAGGGCAUUCUCGUUCACUUGACGGUACCAUAUGAAUAAGCACCGGCUAACUCCGUG